This 253-nucleotide ribosomal RNA is filed under the name uncultured bacterium. Its description in RNAcentral is "partial 16S ribosomal RNA". It matches the Rfam family "Bacterial small subunit ribosomal RNA", at positions 524 to 776 of the family's 1533-position model. The record is from RNAcentral.
UACGAAGGGGGCUAGCGUUGUCCGGAAUCAUUGGGCGUAAAGAGCGUGUAGGCGGCUCGGUAAGUCCGCUGUGAAAGUCCAGGGCUCAACCCUGGAAUGCCGGUGGAAACUGUCGAGCUCGAGUCCGGAAGAGGCGAGUGGAAUUCCUGGUGUAGCGGUGAAAUGCGCAGAUAUCAGGAGGAACGCCAAUGGCGAAGGCAGCUCGCUGGGACGGUACUGACGCUGAGACGCGAAAGCGUGGGGAGCAAACAGG